AUACGUAGGGGGCGAGCGUUGUCCGGAAUGAUUGGGCGUAAAGGGCGCGUAGGCGGCCCGGUAAGUCUGGAGUGAAAGUCCUGUUUUUAAGAUGGGAAUUGCUUUGGAUACUGUCGGGCUUGAGUGCAGGAGAGGUAAGUGGAAUUCCCAGUGUAGCGGUGAAAUGCGUAGAGAUUGGGAGGAACACCAGUGGCGAAGGCGAGUUACUGGGCUGUAACUGACGCUGAGGCGCGAAAGUGUGGGGAGCAAACAGGAUUAGAUACCCUGGUAGUCCACACUGUAAACGAUGAAUGCUAGGUGUAGGGGGUAUCGACCCCUUCUGUGCCGCAGUCAACACAAUAAGCAUUCCGCCUGGGGAGUACGGCCGCAAGGUUGAAACUCAAAUGAAUUGACGGGG
RNAcentral lists this ribosomal RNA (397 nucleotides) under uncultured bacterium. Its description in RNAcentral is "partial 16S ribosomal RNA". It matches the Rfam family "Bacterial small subunit ribosomal RNA", at positions 523 to 918 of the family's 1533-position model. The record is from RNAcentral.